GACGAACGCUGGCGGCGUGCUUAACACAUGCAAGUCGAACGCUGAAGCUCAGCUUUUGUUGGGUGGAUGAGUGGCGAACGGGUGAGUAACACGUGAGUAACCUGCCCCCUUCUUUGGGGUAACGCCCGGAAACGGGUGCUAAUACUGGAUAUUCACUGGUCUUCGCAUGGGGGUUGGUGGAAAGGGUUUUUCUGGUGGGGGAUGGGCCCGCGGCCUAUCAGCUUGUUGGUGGGGUGAUGGCCUACCAAGGCUUUGACGGGUAGCCGGCCUGAGAGGGUGACCGGUCACAUUGGGACUGAGAUACGGCCCAGACUCAUACGGGAGGCAGCAGUGGGGAAUAUUGCGCAAUGGGCGCAAGCCUGAUGCAGCGACGCCGCGUGAGGGAUGGAGGCCUGCGGGUUGUGAACCUCUUUCGCUCAUGGUCAAGCCGCAACAAUGGUUGUGGUGAGGGUAGUGGGUAAAGAAGCGCCGGCUAACUACGUG
This 483-nucleotide ribosomal RNA is filed under the name uncultured bacterium. Its description in RNAcentral is "partial 16S ribosomal RNA". It matches the Rfam family "Bacterial small subunit ribosomal RNA", at positions 28 to 507 of the family's 1533-position model. The record is from RNAcentral.